UUGAGUGUAGUCAAAAAUGAUGGUUUAUUUACAGUAAACAGGACCGUAGGGCGUUCAAA
RNAcentral lists this transfer RNA (59 nucleotides) under Oncicola luehei. RNAcentral's name for it is "tRNA-Val". The record is from RNAcentral. Lineage: Eukaryota; Metazoa; Acanthocephala; Archiacanthocephala; Oligacanthorhynchida; Oligacanthorhynchidae.